UCAGCAGCUGGAGGACCUCACCGCACCGGACCGGACCGGACCACCACCUGCGCUCCGGGCAGGGCUGGGCUCGGCUGGGCCGUGUGGCAGCCAGUCAGCUGAGCGAGGCCGCUCUUGUCUUGAUGCAUCUCUUGUCCGGGGAAUAACAUGCAGGAUGACUAAAGCGAGUGGCAAGUUGGCAAGAAAAGAGUCAGCUGGGAAAGGAUAGAAAACAUCAGAUGUUGACCCUCAGUGAAACGUCUGACUUGUUUGCAAACCACAGAGGACUGGGACGAAGACGUCUAAUGGGUCCCAUCCCCCAUCGCCUCAUCGCUCCGUCCUGCUGAGUGUCUGGCUCACAUGAUGCAGUCGGAAUUCCAGAUGUUGCUCGUGGAAUUCUGCUCCAUCUCUGGCCUCCAAAUGCGGCUCCCCUCUCUCUCCUCCUUCCUCUCCCCCCUAAAAUGCCUCGUGACUCUCUUCUCCAAAACACUGCAGAGAAGUGAACCAAAAAAAAAAUAGAAAAUGGGCGCCUUAAAUCUUUCUUGCGCAAUUGGAAAAUUACCUCAUCAUCGUAGCAGCGUGAUACCCCCCUUUCUGUAAUAAUUGCACAUCAUAGAGGCGUUUUAAUGCCCUCCCCAGCCCACCGACCCAACUCUUUUGUCUGCAGCUGUAAUGUUUGUAUGGAAGUUGUUUGGAGAGUGGGUCAUUAAGAAGAGGGGUGCCGCCUAAGUUUACUGUUGGACCCUUUAUUGGAUCAUGAUGUAAGGUUGUGUAAAAACACUGUGCAUGAUCCACAAAAUACUUUGGCUUGCAAAAUUACUCAAACCACUUUAUUCUUUUUAACAUUAUACCCACAACGUCAAGUAUUAUGGAUAUAGAAAGAGAGAAAGUAGUGUGUUACUCCUCCUUUAUCCUCUUUUGACAAAAUGAUGCCAGGUUCUGGGCAGCUGUUCCUUAGUACAGCUCUGACAUCAGGUCAACACCUGCUGGUUCUGGUUGGUUCUUCCCAGAUCGGAAAUUUUUGACAAAAUGAUGCCUUUGUCAAAAAUCCCCUGGGUCUGGAGAACCGACCCAGGGGAGCGGGGACCAUGCUCACCCUGCUUCCCGUACCCAGAACCUGGGUAAACUCAGUCAAAAAUCUCCUGAGUCUGGAGAACCUAGAGGGCAACUAGUGACCCUCUUUCAACAACUUAUCUCCUCUUACCCUCGUUAGGGCCCAGACCCGCCCUAACCUGGCCAUCCGGAAAGAUUAUUUAGCCAGUUUAGAAAAAUUGUAGAUCCUUGACCCAACGUCACAGGCAGGAUCACCUGAAAACCCGAUCUUUCAUGACCUUUAUGUCCCUGUUUCAGAAUUUUUUUAACCUACAGUGACCCCGUGACAGACCGCCACAGUUGCUUUCGCACAAAGUUGCCUAUUAGUGGAAUUCACUAAUGCGUUACAGUACCUAAAAUCGCCACCAGAUGGUGUCGGGAUAUUUGGGUAUACAUUGAAUGGCACAUUUGGGAAGUGGUCUUUGGGGAUGAAACAGGACAUUUUGGGUGAAAGGAGACUUUUGCCAUGCAUUGAGUGGAAAUAGGGGAUGAAACGGGAUAUUUGGAAAAUGACUAAGUGUCAGUCAGUCAUCCUGAGUUUUGCAGACAAAUGGGAAGAACCACCCAGAAGUACUGGGUGUAGAGACUGGGCUUAUAACCUUUACCCAUCCUCACCACAACACAAUUUUUGGGAUUAAAAAGGGGCUGAAAACGGGUUGAUUAAUAAAGUGUUUUAUUAACGCUUUAUUAAUCAAUGGUUUAAUGGUUUUAUAAAUGGUUUUAUUAAUAAAACCAUUUUUUAAACAGGUUUUAUGUCAGUACCACACAGCUAUCGUAACUUAAAGUUACUCCUUACCUUCUUUCAACACCUUCUCCCUUCUUCCCUUCAUAAGAAUAUUUGAAACAAAGUUUCAUGUAUAUGAAACUUUGUUAUAGACUAAAUAGAGGAGAAUGUUGCUUACUCUGUUGAGCAAAGAAAGAUAUUAAGGUGCAAAAGAACGCUGCACAAUGUGCACACAGCUCCUUCUUGCUCCGCUCUUAUCAGUCACACAUCCUGGAAGAUUUACACUUGACUCACUCUGCUGUUACAACAAGCGACAAGAUGGAGGUGGAAGAUGUUGAACAAAAGCUAAAAUCGGGAGAAUUUACGCUGCUAACUAGAAUUAGCAUCAUGUUACUGUCGUAUUGUCUCUAAAUGUUCCUUAUGUGUGCAGAGGGGUUUUUUUUUGCAGCCUGUCACUGCAUCCACUGGACAUAGUGUGGGAUAUGGUUAUUUUUAUUUGUACAAUAACUAAAUAAAGCAUUCUGAUUCUGAUGAAGAUCAAGAAACAAACCAGACAUUCAGGUCAGGGAGAAAUUAUAUGUUUACUAUUAUAUGAAGUAACAAUAAAAUAUGUGAAAGCUUGUGGUUGUAAGAGUAAAAAGGGGAAUAAACACUGAUGUAAGGCACUGCAACACAUUCUUAUCUUGGCAAAACACAAACAUGCAUCUGUAUUGCUGUCUUUUUUACUUUCUACAUUUAAUCACUGAUUUGUUAAAAAUAGACAAAUUUUUUGACUGAUUUUUAAACUCUGGAUUCAAACGUUGAGUCACACAGAAAACAAAGUCCUCCAUCUUUUCAGCGUCCUCGUAAUCCUUGCAGUCCCGUUGCACGGCCCCCAUAAGCAUAGAAAGGCAAGGACACACACACACACACAGACUUUCUCUCUCUUUUUGUAUUUUUAAUUGUAGAGUUUAGAUAUGUUUUUCUGCUGUGCAGCAACAAGGUUUAUACAAUCGUCCUCAUCCCUGUUUCUACUUAAGAUUUGGAUCCGCUCGCCAUUUUCCAACCCAGUUAAAGUUCCUGCCAGUUCCUGAGCCCCAGUAUUGCAGUGGUGCGGUCGGGGAACAAGAAACCUGGAGGUCCAGGGAGAGUGGGGAAGACCAGAUGGAAAAGAGACACGAGCGGCACAAGUGAUUCAGCUGGAGCGCCCAGGUGAGAGCUGGAUUAUGAGUAAGUGUUUAAAAAAGGUAGAAUUUACUGAGUGAAAAUUAAAGCACAGAAAAACUUUUAAAAUUACUUUAUUCAUGUAAGAGAAAAAGGGAAAAGAGGAAGUACACACAGUCUUGUUAAAACCAAAUAGUUGUCAU
Gambusia affinis (western mosquitofish) is the source of this 3141-nucleotide long non-coding RNA. RefSeq lists it as uncharacterized. The transcript is spliced from 4 exons. NCBI's taxonomy places the organism in Eukaryota, Metazoa, Chordata, Actinopteri, Cyprinodontiformes, Poeciliidae. The record is from RefSeq and is a predicted model, not a curated record.